CGCUAAUAGAUGAGCCUAAGUCGGAUUAGCUAGUUGGUGGGGUAAAGGCCUACCAAGGCGACGAUCUGUAGCGGGUCUGAGAGGAUGAUCCGCCACACUGGGACUGAGACACGGCCCAGACUCCUACGGGAGGCAGCAGUGGGGAAUAUUGGACAAUGGGGGGAACCCUGAUCCAGCCAUGCCGCGUGUGUGAAGAAGGCCUUAUGGUUGUAAAGCACUUUAAGCGAGGAGGAGGGUACUGGUAUUAAUACUACCAGCUACUGGACGUUACUCGCAGAAUAAGCACCGGCUAACUCUGUGCCAGCAGCCGCGGUAAUACAGAGGGUGCGAGCGUUAAUCGGAUUUACUGGGCGUAAAGCGUGCGUAGGCGGCUAAUUGAGUCGGAUGUGAAAUCCCCGAGCUUAACUUGGGAAUUGCAUUCGAUACUGGUUAGCUAGAGUGUGGGAGAGGAUGGUAGAAUUCCAGGUGUAGCGGUGAAAUGCGUAGAGAUCUGGAGGAAUACCGAUGGCGAAGGCAGCCAUCUGGCCUAACACUGACGCUGAGGUACGAAAGCAUGGGGAGCAAACAGGAUUAGAUACCCUGGUAGUCCAUGCCGUAAACGAUGUCUACUAGCCGUUGGUCUCUUUGAGGGAUUAGUGGCGCAGCU
RNAcentral lists this ribosomal RNA (646 nucleotides) under Acinetobacter sp. RNAcentral describes it as "bacterial SSU rRNA". It matches the Rfam family "Bacterial small subunit ribosomal RNA", at positions 216 to 853 of the family's 1533-position model. The record is from RNAcentral. Lineage: Bacteria; Pseudomonadati; Pseudomonadota; Gammaproteobacteria; Moraxellales; Moraxellaceae.